UAGGGAAUCUUCGGCAAUGGACGGAAGUCUGACCGAGCAACGCCGCGUGAGUGAAGAAGGUUUUCGGAUCGUAAAGCUCUGUUGUAAGAGAAGAACGAGUGUGAGAGUGGAAAGUUCACACUGUGACGGUAUCUUACCAGAAAGGGACGGCUAACUACGUGCCAGCAGCCGCGGUAAUACGUAGGUCCCGAGCGUUGUCCGGAUUUAUUGGGCGUAAAGCGAGCGCANGCGGUUAGAUAAGUCUGAAGUUAAAGGCUGUGGCUUAACCAUANUACGCUUUGGAAACUGUUUAACUUGAGUGCAAGAGGGGAGAGUGGAAUUCCAUGUGUAGCGGUGAAAUGCGUAGAUAUAUGGAGGAACACCGGUGGCGAAAGCGGCUCUCUGGCUUGUAACUGACGCUGAGGCUCGAAAGCGUGGGGAGCAAACAGGAUUAGAUACCCUGGUAGUCCACGCCGUAAACGAUGAGUGCUAGGUGUUAGACCCUUUCCGGGGUUUAGUGCCGUANCUAACGCAUUAAGCACUCCGCCUGGGGAGUACGACCGCAAGGNUG
This 550-nucleotide ribosomal RNA is filed under the name uncultured bacterium. RNAcentral's name for it is "bacterial SSU rRNA". It matches the Rfam family "Bacterial small subunit ribosomal RNA", at positions 355 to 896 of the family's 1533-position model. The record is from RNAcentral.